RNAcentral lists this ribosomal RNA (461 nucleotides) under uncultured beta proteobacterium. RNAcentral's name for it is "bacterial SSU rRNA". It matches the Rfam family "Bacterial small subunit ribosomal RNA", at positions 9 to 474 of the family's 1533-position model. The record is from RNAcentral. Lineage: Bacteria; Pseudomonadati; Pseudomonadota; Betaproteobacteria.
GAGUUUGAUCAUGGCUCAGAUUGAACGCUGGCGGAAUGCUUUACACAUGCAAGUCGAGCGGCAGCGCGGGGCAACCUGGCGGCGAGCGGCGAACGGGUGAGUAAUGCAUCGGAACAUGUCCAUGUCGUGGGGGAUAGCCCGGCGAAAGCCGGAUUAAUACCGCAUACGCCCGAGAGGGGAAAGUGGGGGACCGCAAGGCCUCACGCGAUUGGGUUGGCCGAUGUCCGAUUAGCUAGUUGGCGGGGUAAGAGCCCACCAAGGCGAUGAUCGGUAGCUGGUCUGAGAGGAUGAUCAGCCACACUGGGACUGAGACACGGCCCAGACUCCUACGGGAGGCAGCAGUGGGGAAUUUUGGACAAUGGGGGCAACCCUGAUCCAGCCAUUCCGCGUGAGUGAAGAAGGCCUUCGGUUGUAAAGCUCUUUGUCGGUACGAACGGAUACGUCUAAUACGCGUGUCUACU